This is a long non-coding RNA of Aedes albopictus (Asian tiger mosquito), 16640 nucleotides long. RefSeq lists it as uncharacterized. NCBI's taxonomy places the organism in Eukaryota, Metazoa, Arthropoda, Insecta, Diptera, Culicidae. The transcript has 2 exons. The record is from RefSeq and is a predicted model, not a curated record.
UUCCUCCAGGAAUUCCUUCAGGGAUUCCUCUAGGGAUUCCCCCAGGAAUUCCUUCAGGGAUUCCUCCAGGAAUUCCCCAGGGAUUCCUCCAGGAAUUCAUCAAGGAUUUCUCCAGGAAUUUUUCCAGGGAUUGCUCCAAGAAUUCCUCCAGGGAUUGUUCCAAAAAUUCUUCCAGAGAAGAGAUUUCCCCAGGAAUUACUCCAGGAAUUUCUACAGGGAUUCCUCCAGGAAUUUCUACAGGGAUUCCUCCAGGAAUUCCUUCAGGGAUUCCUCAAUCCUCCAGGAAAUCUAUCAUGGAUUUUUUCAGGGAUUCCUCCACGAAUUUCUCCAGGAAUUGCUCCAAGGAUUCGUUCAGGAAUUUCAUCAGAGAUUUUUCCAGGCAUUCCUCUAGGGAUUUCUACAGGAAUUUCUUCAAAGAUUCCGCCAGGAAUUCUUCUAUCCUCCAGAAAUUUCACUAGGGAAUCUUUCAGGAAUUCCUCCAGGGAAUCCACCAGGCAUUUCUGCAGGGAUUACUCAAAGUAUUCAUCCAUGAGCUUCUCGAGGAGCUCCUCUAGGGGUUCCUCCAUGAAUUUCUCCAGAGUGAAUUAAUCGCCAGCAGACGCGUACCGACUAGUGAAAGUUAUCAAUCGGAUGACGCAAGUUCACAAGCCUGAGAUUGAUAAUAUUGGAUUUUUUUUUUCAUUUUUCGCAUUUUGACAAAAAAAAUAGAAGACAGUGUUUUGUCAAUUACGAUUUUUCGACAAAACAAACGCUGCUAUCUUACGAUCUCUUUCGUUGCAAAAAAAAGACAAUGUAUGACAUUUGAAAGCGAUUUCGAACAAAAAAAAUAGUUAAUUAUGUAACGAGCUGCAAAAAGUUGAUUUUUUUUCAGCACGAGUCGUACAUUUAUCCAACGAGGCUUGCCGAGUUGCAUUAUGAACAUUAUACAACUAUAUUUCAUUAUACAACUCAUUUCAGUUGCAUAAUGAACCAGUACGGAAUAAAUGGCCAUUAUGGUAUGAAAUGAGUUACAUUACAUUGAAAUUAUGACACUGAAUUGCAUAAACAUAUUUUCAGUGGAUACAUGUGUGCUCCGGUACACAUGUUAAAAGCUCAAUAGUACCUAUUAACUUUCAUUAUGGGUAUAAAUCAAUUUUUUUUAACAUCCACCACUCCCAACCACCUUCAACUAGUGUAACACAUCAAAAAGCAUCCUGCUGAUUGAUUAACUGCCGCCUGUUGUUCCGUGGCCGGGAGGAACGUCCCAUGUCUGAUGAAUACAAACCACUCACUCACUCAUCCAGUCAGUCAGUGUGUGACGCAGACCAGAGGGAAACUCUUUUCAGCCAAACAAAACCAGGUAUGUAUCGCUCUGUUACCAUAUUGCAUUGCCUUGUUCGGUCCCCGAGCAAUGUGUCGCACGUGGAAAUGAUGGAAAACUGUAAUGUGCAAUUAAUUAUAAGUUUAGCGCCGGCCUCGGCCGUCCGCUCCCCGACCCGAAAGUUAAGCCACCCACCCACCCCCCAGUUUGAAGUUCUAUAUUUAGCCAAGUCAAGUCAAGCGGCAGCGGCGUCCGAGUUGUUGUUGGGAAUUUUUCACCGGUGCUUUUUAUGACCACCGCGCGCCGGCCGGUCGUGGCUGAAGCUGUUGUAUGUCGUUUCCCCAUAACUGUGGUGUGUGUAUGCUACUAUGCUGUUGAAGGAAAUGACUGGCAGCGAUAUUGGUCACCACACAGGCCUUGGGCUUAGUAUGACGAAUGAACGGACGGACGGACGAACGAAAAAAAAAAAAAAAAAAACGAUGACCAGUGACCAUCGGACGCCGCGGUGAAAUCGUGUGGUUUACACCUUUCCCGUUCUGGGCAAUUUGCUAACAGAUUUUGACGACAGCUGGCUUAAAGGAGUGGCCGAGGCUUGGGGGUGAUCCUUGGUCUGGACCGGCUAGCGGUUAGUUCGCGGUAGGGGGUGGUGGUGACGUUGCACAUGGACAAGUUCGUGUUCUGGCAGAUUAGAUGUGAUUAAUCAUUUUGACUAAAUUGGUCCCACACCGGUGCUUUUUGGGCAUUUAACAUUGUUGUUGGCGAGGUUAGGGGAUGGUAGACUAUUUUGGGAUCUCAUAUUGAAUUCACCGAGGGUUGAGACUGCUACCAGAAACAGAAGGGUCUGUCUUUGAUGAAUACGAUGACCAUUAUUCGAAAGCAGAUUCUAUUUCUGAAACAGGUAGAAUUAUGAAAAGAAACUAUUUUGUGAAUCACAGAAAACUCAAAAUUCAAGAGCGCAUUGUUUAAUUGAAAAACUAAAAAUAAAUUUGUGUAAAAAAUCAAAUUCGUUCAGAUGAUAUUCGAACUUAUGACACCUUAUCACUAGCCUAGCGCUUUAGCCAACAAAACCACAGAACCUAGUUGAACUUCUGUUUCACAGUACAAGCCGACAGGUUGAAUACAAUAAAUAAUUUUAUGCAAUUCAGUUUCAUAAUUUCUAUUUUAUAUAACUCAUUUUGGUAUUAAAAUGGCCAAUUUUUCCGAAUUGGUUUAUUAUGCAACUGAAAUUAGUGGCAUAAGGAAAAAUAGUUGUAUAAUGUUCAUAAUGCAACUCAUUUGAGUUUCAUUAUGAACAUUAUACAACUCAAAUGAGCAGUAUAAUAAAAAAAUCAUUGCAAAAAAUGUUGUAGGGAACUCGUUGCAAAACUCGAUUUUUUCAGCAUUUUUUGUAUUUAUUCAACUCGGCAAGUCUCGUGGGAUAAAUGUACGACUCGUGCUGAAACAAUCAACUUUUUGCAACUCGUUAUAUAAAUAACUAUUAAAGCACGCUUUAAUUCAACCUCUCUUAAAUGUCAUCUUCCGUAAAUACCAAUGAACCGUAUUUGCGACACCUCCGGGAAAGGUCACUUCUCUCCGGGUUUCGGGACACGGUUUGGAAAAACAUAAAUCAGUUUUAAAAAUAACCCAUCCCAUCGCUGCCGGAGCCAGAGCAUAGCCAAUGUGGGCAAUAUUGUCACUGUCAUCGACUCCUCACAAACUCGAACGCGUCAAGCAAAUCGGGCCCAUAUCACAUGCCAAUAACUGUGUGGGAGAGCAACAUGCUCUUCUGUCUUCUAUUUUUUGCAAGCAUAGGAUGGACUGGAUACUGGUGCAAAGUUUCAGGGGGGUGCGUUGAACGGUCCUCUGUUUCGAAGGUCGACUACACGGAUCAUGGAUCAAAGCGGUGCCUGCAUGGCGGAUUGGUGGAGAUCCCGAUGCCGAUGCCACCUGAAAGCAACAUGUUUUUGCUCGCGUUCUAUUCAAUCACUUUUCGAUUUCGAUGCUCUGUUCGAUGGCAACAUAAAGUGUAGUGAAUAAAAAAAGAAUUCAAUUUUUGCUUGAUUUUGAUGGGAAAGUUCAACACGAUGCAUCACAUUCCACAAUAAAAGGAUAAAUAAAUAUUUGCUUUGUCAGCAGAGUGGCGUGCGAAACGAGGAUAACCUGAAGUUCAACGGGACCGUACUUGAUGGACAAAGUUGUUUGAUAUUAACUUGUCGUCAAAAAUGCCAGAGAUGUCUUCAACCUUGGAGAAGUGUGUACUAGCUUUAGAACGUUCGGUGUUGUUGAUAAAAUAGUUGGAAAGAUGUUGAAAACGAUAUGACAAUAAGGUUCUAACCGAAUUUGGGGUGAACACUCAGCUCAGCGUUCUCUAUGCUCAAGGAAGUCAAGAAAAGGGUCCUGAGUAGAUCGAAAAGCGAACCCAGAAACGCUGUGUGGAAGCAGUGAAGUUAGCAAGAAUGGAACUUCUACUGAAGAGUGAGAUUGUUUUAGCGCAGAAAAGGAUGGACAGGAACGAUAUGCGGAAGUUUUAUUGCAACUGUCAAUGAUGCGCGGCACAAGACUGCGCCAGUGCCCGCCAUGUACAAUGAGAGAAGGAGAUUUGCUGACAGACAAAACAAUGCACAAUGGUCCGUGGGCCGUAUUUAUCUGGAAAAAAAUGUAUGCCUAAACUAUUAUUUUAGCUAUAUGCUGUCAUCGGGAAAGUAUCUUCAUAUUUUUUAAAUAUUUAUUUUCAAUAAUAUGAAAUAAGGGUGUCAACUUUUUAUUGUUUCCAUAUAGAGCAAUGAGGUGUUCCACAAAGUUGGGAUGCAUUUAAUUCUAAAGAAACUAUAUUGUUAUCUCUUAUUGUUUCAGCGAUAUUAUUUUUGAAGAAACAAAAUUGGGGGCCACAAAAAAAAAAAGUUUUCUUUUGACAACUUUUUCUACAUUGAUUUUUCGCAAAGACAGCGUCGUCGAUGAGAAUUGUGUGGACUUCCAUCACACUAAGAACAAUCCGCUCUCGCCUAGGCAUUUUAUAUACAAUAGAUGAGUAGUGUGGAUGGACAUCUAAUUCAUCCGAAAGAAUUGCGGUCUGUGGAAAAGAUAACCUCAAAAUUUCGAGCUGAACUUGAAUUCAGGAUGAUCACUACAUCUUCGAGUCUUCUUGUGGUAUAGUGGUAACGCGCCUGUCUAAUAAAUAAAAGUCGUGAGUUGGAGUCUCACCGAGAGGACGAGUAACUUUUUUUUUCGCAAAUUCCACUCCAAUGUGACCGUUUUUUACUCACGUCAGUACUUGUAAAGUCCGGCUUUUGAAGUUACGCAAAAUGAGUUGUUUGGUGGUAACUUUCACCUUAAUGAUAUAGUAACUUUCCUUAUGUUUGGAAAUAAAAUAUUGUACUUGUUAGUUUUUUUUUAUUUUCUACUAUGCUACAAUGUCUUAACCGCUUUGUGCAACUUCAAUUUUUAAUCCUGUUGUUUACAGUUUGCGCCAGGAAAAAAAAUGCGAAAGCGUUUUUCAACUUCAAACCUUAUUUUCGUCCAUUUGACGUUAACCAAUCUAUGAUUUAACGUUCCUUGAUCUCUAACAGACCAAUUUUCUGAAAACCUUUCUUGCAGGUGUCAUCUAUAUAGUUCAUAUUAGUCGACAUAUUUAUGAACUUUGCAGAAGUGGAGACUCCGGUUUUGUCCACAAAACAAACAAAUUAGCCCGAUAUGUUGAACAUUGUACCACGGUUACUAAGCGCGGCUCUCCGUAUGACAUUCCUUACCGCAAUGUUGAACAUCAGACACGAAAAUUCUGCUUGACGAAGUCUCAUCGGGAUUUGAACAAACUACAAGACAGCUCGCUCGAAAUCUUCUCUCAGGUUUGCAGGCAGAUGGCCAACAUUUCCGGGCCUAUAUCUAUGAGAUCGGCUGCAGUAGCAGACUUACCACCUACUUCAUUAUUCUUGAGUUGAAGAAUGUCAUCCUUGAUUUCGCUUAGUGAGGUUAGUGAAUGCCCAUGAUCUGCCUGCUGUAAUAUUCUUUUUCUAAGCUGCCAUGGUCCAUAAUACAUCCCUUCCCUAUAUUUGGUCAUGGUCCUUAAUUAAUGGGAAUAUUUGUAUUUGAGACUUCACUGACAACUUAGAACAUCCUAAACAUCAUAAAGUUUGGAUAAACGAACUAAUUAACAUACCAGUUGUUUUAAAAGCUGAAUUUGGAUAUGGGUUACGUUUGUUAAAACUAUCAGAAUGUGUUAGAAAUAUCAGAAUGUGUUGUUAAAAAUAUCAGAAUGUGUUUUAUAUUUGGGAUGUUCUAGGUGUUCCAAAUUGUCCUGUAGUAAAUUCCUCCAUAUGUACAAGAAUAACUUUAUCUGUUUUCUCCAUAAAUAAUACCAUUACAUAAUCUACUGGGAUCCAUCAAGCUCUGAAAUCUCAAAUGUCAUUGAGAGACACUAUAGGACUAUUCCAGGUCAGCUAAACUACCUUAGAGUUCAGAACUUCAGAUCUACAUUCGUAACUGCAGCCAUAUCUGCUAUAUUAAUUGUGAGUAUCAUUGCAUAAUCAACUGCGGCUGCUGGAUCAACCUGAAAUCUAUUAUAUAUUAUUAUUACCCUUUGGGGCAUUUAGGGUCAUCUAAACUGUCCUAUAAUAGAGUUCUUUAAAUCUACAAGAAUAAUUUUAUGUGUUUUCGCCAUAAAUAAUAGCAUUGCAUAAUUUGCUCGGAUCUGUCCAGCUCUUGAAAUCUCAAGUGUCAAAAGACACUUUAGGUCACAGUUAGUCGCGUUCGGUAAUUUUUACCGAAAUCUCAACUGCUGAGUGUUCGGUAAUGGGUUUUUACCGAAAUUCUGUAAUACCAAAUUUCGGUAAAAUGAUACCGUUUAUAUGUCAAAUUUUAACGAAGUUCGGUAAACGUCACCGAAUGUUUUCGGUAAAAAACUUAACGGUUGAGAUUUCGGUAAAAUAUUACCGAAGUCGGUGAUUUUUUUCUAAGGUCAGCCAAACUACCUAGUCAGAACUUCAGGCCUACAUUGAUAACAGCAGCCAUAGCUGCUAUACUGAGGAACGUUGGGAAUUGGACCAAUCUGAAGUCUAUGUUAUUAUAAAUCUUUGAGACAUUCAGGGUCGUCAAAAUUGUCCUAUAAUGAAGUCCUUCAAGUCUACAAGAAUAACUUUAAGUACCAUAAAUAAUAGCAUUGCAUAAUCUGCUGGGUUCCAUGAAGCUUUUGAAAUCUGAAAUGUCAUUUAGAGAUAUUAUAGGUAUAUUCCAGGUCAGCCAAACUAUCUUGGAGUUCAGAACUUGUAGACCUGAGGUUCGGAACCCAGCAGAUUAUGCACUUGUAACAGUAGCCAUAUCUGAUAUACUGAGUAACGUUGCAUAAAUCAAUCGUGGUUACUGGAUCAACCUGAAGUCUACUAUAUAUUAUUAUGAACCUUUGGGACAUUACGGGUCGUCCAAACUGUCCUGAAGUUGAAAUCUUGACAGUAACAGUAGUUAUUCUUACAGUGAACUAUAACGUUACACAUCCAACUGUAAUCUGUAAUCCCCCUGGCAUUUCUGGAGUCAUUUCAAGAUAGUUUUGAAAUAUUCAAGAUCAACCAAACUACUUCGGAGACCAUAGCUUCAGUUCUACAAUUGUGAUAAUAGCUUUCGUCAGUACGUUAAGUAGUGUUACAUCCACUGUAUUUACCGAAGUAGUUCGAGGAACAAUAAGCGUUGUUAUAUAUUUUUGGGAUAUCAUAAGCCAUCCUUACUCUUGUGUAGCUUAGUUUUAUAAAAACAACUACAGUAACAUAAGGUGAAUUUGUUUUAGAUAGUAGCUUUACACAACCAAAUAGGAUCCAUGUACCUCUUAACUAUCAAGGGUCACUUCAUGAAAUAGUUAUGAUAAUUUAGGUCAACCAAUCCUUCACGGAGUACACAACUUUAAUAUCUACAUUUGCAAUGCUAGCCUGCAACACUAAAUAAUAAUACAUAAUGAACCAUAUUUACUAAUAUUCUUCAAAGACUAGUAGGCAUUGUUUUGUACCCUUGAAACAUUUGUGCUGCAAAAACUUACGUUAUCUAGUCUAACCCACUCAGAUUCGCGUACUUCUGUAAAACUCAGAGCCAUUCCAAAAUACCUGUGAGAUAUUUCAGGUUUAUUACACAGCUAGUUGCGUUCGGUAGUUUUUACCGAAAUCUUAACUGCUGAGCGUUCGGUAACUAGUUUUUAACGAAAUUCUGUAAAAAAAAUACCAAAUUUCGGUAGAAUGUUAUCGUUUAUCAGUCAAACUUCAACGUAGUUUACUGAUUUUUUCCUGUAAAACAAACUUAACGGUUGAGAUUUUGGUAAACCAUUACCGAAGACGGUGAUUUUUUCUAACUGUGUAAACUUCCCAUACAACCAAGAACCUCCAGGUGAGGUGAAGAUAUGACGGAGCCACAUUUCGAGCACAAAUCUGAAGGCAAAUGUGGGACGCGGCCGUGAAUAAGGAAUCUAAGGACUGCAGUCACGAAUCGAGUGUUGUGGUGAAGAUGUGUUGAUUCAGUUUUAAUUUAAUAGUUAUUAACGCUAAAUAAAUGAAAUAUAUACGAUCAUUACGGUUGGUAAUGCAGUAUAACUCUAAAUAUUUAGCAAAAAGAUAUUAUUACGGCUGUAGACUCCAUGUUGCAUGUUGUCCAUAUUGCUGGACAGUGUAUACGAUUCUGAAACUCAUAAUAUCCCGAAGCUACCCAGCUAACACAAAGUCUUAUAUGAUGUUGAAAAGGAUGCUAAAGUGGAGGCCAUAUGCGUACAUGCUCCCAUUUAACCCCGUGUAAAGUGUGCGUAUAUCGCCUCCACUUUUACAUCCUAUGCAACAUCUUAUGCGAUAGUGUGUUGACUGGGUAUAUCAUAGUCUCUGAUAGUAUUAUGUAAACUCCAGUAAUUAUAAUAGAUUAUAAAACAUACCUCUAUAUAGCCAAAACAGAAACUCAUAAUAGUUUGGAUGAUCUGGGCAUGAUAGAUUACAAAUCGUAGCUUUGUAUUAUGAAAGAAAUUAUCGUUACACCCGUAGACUUUAGGAUCUAAACUCAAGAAUAAUUUGGACGACCUAGGAUAUUCCAACUGAUCUUAUACUAUAUUUUGAACUUUCAGAAGAGUUAUUGGACAUGAUAGAUUACAAAUCGUAGCUUUGUAUAGUAAAAGAACUUACCGUUACACGCGUAGACUUUGAGACCUUAACUCAAGAACAGUUUGGAUGACUUAGGAUAUCAAGAAAAAAAAAUAGUCUGCGUCAUAUUCUACUCUUUCUAUGCUAUUGAGCACCAAAGCCACAGAUAUACGUAGAAAAAACUAUAUAAGGCCGUUACAAAUAUUUUUUUCAAUUUUUGUCACACCACUCUUUGGCUUUGGGGGGUUGACAAAAAGUUAAAAUGAAAUUUGUAUCCACCUAAUAACGCUUGGGAAAAUUCCGACUUCAAAUGGUUGAGUCAAACCCAGACACCUGCAACAUGGUGUCUCUUUUGUAGCUGUGCGUAAUUCAAUUCAGCGAUGGUAGGCCUAAUUUUUUAGGCUUAUCUUAUCUGAACUUACGAGCAUUAUCAUAUUAACUGUUUCAGGUAUAUGUCCGCAGACGUUCUAUGAAAUUUAUCUAGACACUUCCGCUUUGCGAUGAUCUCUGUUACUCAUGUAAAUAUAAACUGAUUUCGUACACGAAACAACACAAGGAUCAAUAUCAUAAAAUCACACACUUGCCUAUAAAGACAAUAAGACUAUUCAAAUCAGCCUGCAACUCCACGUUCCCCAUGCAGCGAAAAGAAAAUAUAUCAUUUCCUGUCGAGACUCUCGGUUUCCAUAUCCAGAGAUAUUUUACGACUCGUCCGGAACGUGCUGCACUAUUCAAUGCUGGCUGAAAGAGCGUGAUUCCAGCCGGCCACUCUUUGGGGCGUUCCAAGUUGUUCCACUUCCAUCAACCUUCCUAUGGACAUUUUGCCCAAAAUGGGGGGGGCAGGCGUUGGUUCUUGGAUUGGAAUGUGUAAAAAUAAACAAAACGAGUGACGAGCCCCGUUGUGUGACUUUCUUCGCGUAGCUAGUUGCUAACUGUGAGUCCGGAAGAGGUUAACCAUGAACCUUCCUUUCGCUUCGAGGCGCGCGGAUGAUUGACUUCGCCGGAGAUAACUGCGUCGAGGUAGUUAUAAGGGCGACCGUAAAUUUUUAACGACUCCAAUCUUCUUCCGUUUUGGCGGUGCGUGUUUUCCUUAUGAUGCCAGUUUGAGCACGCUUGCUGUAAUGUUUCAAUCAACUGGAGAACUGCUUGUACGAGUUCUGCACGAAUCAUUGAGAGAAGGUGGAGCUACAUUUGCUGAAAUGUUAAAUUGGGAUACAUCCCAAAGAAUUCCAUAGGUUAAUGUUCAAAUCCUCGGAAGGGUCAGGAUUGAGUAGUGUGCGGUAGUUCGGCAGCAGCAAAGUUUCGCGCGCUCGCUUUGCUAGAUUUUUGCGAUUUUCUUUCCCCUUCUCUCUGCGGGGCUCCGACGACGGGACGCCAAGCAGUCAGUAGUGUGCGGUAGUUUGGCAGCAGCAAAGUUUCGCGCGCUCGCUUUGCUAGAUUUUUGCGAGAGUGAGUUUUUGGAGGCAAAGUGUACAGGCCGCGUUUUCAUUCGGUCGUCGUCGUCGUCUAUUUGACUGCUCAUCUUCGUACGGGGCGAUUUAUGAUACGAUAAAUGCAACAAACAACAUUUUUUGCGAUUUUAGUCAACAGACAUUGAAAUGUUCGUCACGUCAAGUGUCGGCCCAAGUUCCAAAGCCACGUUGGUUCAAAUCACUUUAUUUUCUCUUUCGUUAAUUUUCGCACUUCGAAAACUAUCUGAAUGGUUCGUCAUCUUCGAUGUCGGCAUGUGUUUUGUUUUAGUCCAAAUGAAAAUAAGUGGUUUGAUAUUAAUAGGGUUGCAUGAAUCACUCCACUUACCAAAGUGAACUCAUAUCAUGCGCCCUUUCCCCUCCCCACUAACAAAAAGUCCUUCCCAUGACAGACGUGGAGACGCAGAGGUGAUCUCGGUCUUUAGUAAGCAACGCACGUCAUAAUAACAUUCCUUUCCUUCCUCGAUGACCGUAAGGACGUGGCCGGCGCCGUUAUUGACCUAAUAAAGUUUGGAAUUCUCGAAGAUGCACAUUGAGGACGGUAAGCUACUCCCAAGCUCCGUCUGUUGGUUCCUUGUACAACUUCGAUUGUUCUGGUCAAUCACGGAGUAGCAACUACGAAUAGUACGGUCAUCUAUGCUCAUGCUCAUGCUCAAAUCCUCGGAAGGGUCAGGAUUGUUUCCGCAACAAAAGAUGGACCUUCAUUAGGAUUAUCUAUCGGCUACCGCAUGUUACCGAUUCGUCGAAGUCCCUCAGUAAGCGUCGUUUUCGCUUCCAACAGUUUCCCCGAAUCACCGACCACAUCAGCAGAGUCAGGAAGGUAUUACGCUAGCAAUGACCUCAAACAUCUGGCUGGGGUUCAAUGUGAGGACAGUUGUAUCCAUUUACCGGACGAGAAGAUGGCGGCACGGGUCGGAGGCGACAACGGCGGCGACGACGACGCCACAUUGCUCGUUGAACGAUUGGGAUGAAUCUGGCAUCAGCAGCGCCGGCCACCGCGUGCCGCCAGCCAGCAGCCCAGUCGGGUGGGAGAAGGCAUGUGUCCGAAAAUAAAACAUUUGCGUUUCUAAAAUUACACCGAAACUAGGGAGUGAAAAUAAACUCUCUGUUGUUUCUCUUCCCCCCAGCCAGUCAGUCAGCCAUCAGCAUUAGCAUGCGGAUGAGCGUUGGUUUGUUGUGUUGUUGGAUGUGCAUUGGGGGAAGAGAUCCAAAAACGUCCGUUACCUACAAAUGGUGAUUACGACCAACGACGACGACGCCGCGGUUACUGAGAAGCACAUGAAGUCACAUGAUAUGUUGUUGUCGGGUAUAAGUUAAGGAUGUUGGGGCGUGUGUUUUGUGCUGUAAGAACCUGGUGCUUCAGCCGAAAAAAAAGUGCAGAGCAGGGAACCCAGCUAUGCAACUUUCUGAUGAGUCCAGAAUCCAGAUGCUGAAUCGUGUGUGUGCUCGUUUGGUCUUUCUACGUUCUUCCAAUGUUUAUUUGGGUUUACAGAGAAAAUCCGUCUGGUGAUCAUGACCGACGGGUGUCUAGGCAAUAAAUGUAUUUUUGGUUGCUAUUCGUAGGGAAGCGACAUUGCUGAAUCCGGAUCUGAAUAAGCUCAGUUAACAGAAAGAUACCAAGUUUAGUCACUAGCACAUUUUUCUAUACUUUUCAAUCAGAAUUAUAGGAUUUCUACUAGAAACGUCUGAAGAAAUUCUCCUAAACUGGGUAUCAUCAGAAGUGUUCUUUCUGGGAAUCCUACAGGACUUUCUACUAGGAAUCAUCCAGGAGUUCAUUCUGGGAAUCCUCUAGGAGUUCCUACUAGAAGUCCUCCGAGAUUUUUUUUUUCUGAAAAUCUCCUUGAGUUCCUUCAGGCAACCCCACGGGAAUUACUCUUGAGAAUCCUCCAAAAGCUCGUUUCCACAAUAAAUCCUUCUGAAAGCCCACCUGGAGUUCAUUCUGAAAAUCCUUCAGAAGUUCCUUGUGAGAAUCCUUCGGAUGUUCUUUUAGAUUUCUUAGAAGGAGUUAUGGCUAGGAAUCCUCAAGUAGUACCUUGUGAGAAUCUUACAGCAAAUUAUUUUGGAAAUUCUCCAGAAGUUACUUUUGACAAUCCAUUAGGAGCUAGGAUACAUCCUUAGAACGAACUCCUGGAUUAAUCUCAAGAAGGAAUUCUGGAAACAACUAGUAUAGAAAUCUCUUAAAGCAACUUCUGAAGAAAUUUCUUGUUUACAUUAAUUUCUGAGCAUCCAUGGAGAUGUGAAUUGCCGGCCAACAACGCCUUAUCUUGUGCCCUGAUCAAAUUUCUGUCAUACAGUACUGGACAGAAAAAAGUAAGUGUUGAGUGGUUAUCAUACAAAAUGCUCAAGUUUGGGGGUUUGAGUCUCAGCUUCUAUUGAUCAAAUUUGAACUGUGCAUUCAAAAUAACUAAAAAUUUGAUUUAUGAAAAAAUAAGACAUUCCCAAGCAAAACCUUUGAAAAUAUUGCAAAUUUUAUGAAAAAUAGCAUUCUUUAGUAUUUCAGAAAGAAAGCAUGACGUAUUUUCUAGCUUCGAAUUGAUCCACGAUUUGGUCGACGAAAGUUCAACUAACCGGCUAUGUAGAGUGGAUUUUCCGUGAAAUUGUUUGAACAGUGAUGACGAUUUGCAAAAAAAAACUUGUGAAGCAGUGAAUUAUUCGGAAAGGUUUUGUGACACUAUUGACAAAAUUCGUGGGCGAAAUGGUGUUGCUAGUUAUAGAAAUCUUCAUCACAACGCUACUACAAACAAAAAAGCAGAAAACUGGCGAUGGUGUGCCCGUUGCUGUAUGGAAAAAGACGUCGGACGUUUGAUUAUUUGGUGAGAUCUUUCUAAUUUCUUUGAGAUGCCUUGAUGUUGAUAGUAUGGUGCCUGUUAACGUUCAGUAAUUCAAUCACUUACAAUAUGUUUUUCGGUACAACCGGGGAAGGGAUCAUCAUAUUUUUAUUUCGUUUCAGAAAGCGAGCAAUGGCGCUUAAACCUAGGCUUUUGAGCCAGGGCAUAAGGGGAAAAUCCUAUGCCGCAUCCCAGGAAGAGGAGCCAAGAAGGAGUGACACUAACUUUCUUAGCAACGUCACUCCCAACGUUUUUGCUUAUAUUUCAUAUAUCAUACUAUACGGAUUGGUUGGUACGAGAUGUUCCCGUUCUAUGGUUUUAACUUAAUAUUCAAUGACGCUGCACAGUAGGCCUGGCCGCUUCAAUACUUGUAAUGAAUCUCUGAUUCACUGCAAGCAUUGAUAAUGACAAGAAAAAUGAUAGAAGUAGUCGAUUCUAUCAUUUUCCAGGAUUCUUCCAAGUGAUGGCUGUGUAUGUGUAGACUAGACUAGACUAGACUAGACUAGACUAAAUAGCAUUAUUUAAUAUUUCACAAACGAGUUGUUUUACAAUAUCGGACAAUAAAAAUGCACCAAAGCCGUUUUCCCAUAAAAAACUAAUCAACUUUAGAUUGACAUACCAGAGUUAUUUCUCAACCGAUUGUUUUAAUUUUUCUAUGACGAACUACAAAAACAUUUCAAUUUUUAAAAACUUUUGAAAAAGUUCAGUGAUGACUAUUGAUACAAAGUUACAGAGAGGUUAAAUUUUGACCAUAAAAAUGAACCAAGACAAAAAUCAGAAUGUAGCAAAAAAUGGCGAAGACAAAUCAUGUUGGUGUCUUCAGCAAACUUAUUCAUCAUCACACAAGAAACAUAUUUGCCGAAGACACCAUAAUGAUAAGACGUACCAAUUUUAUGUUUUCUUGGUGCAUUCUUAUUGUCAAAAUUUAGCCUAUCGGUAGCUCUUUUAUCAAUAGUUGUUAUCGAACUUUUUCAACUAGUUCGCCACAGAAAAAUGAAAACAAACGGUUGAGAAAAAACUGAGAUAUGGCAAUCUAAUGUUGACUAGUUUGUAUGAGAAAACGCCUUUGAUGCAUUUUUAUUGUCUGAUACUGUAAGUAAAUUUACUACAUUUAAUACAUUUUACAUUUAAUACAUAGUUCACUAAAAGAUUUGAAACUAUUCUAAACGCUAAAUAUUUACAUUAAUUUACAAUUAAUUAAGUGAAAUGACAGCAAACCGAAAACAAAAUUUGAAAUCAAAUUAAGUAAAUCUAUACUGAUAUCGAAAUGUGAUAUCAAUUUGUUGCUGAAUACAUAUCGUGUUUUCAAUUUGCUGUAAUUUUGUUGUUGAACUUUGCUCGGGAAGCCGUUUACCUUCCAUCCAUUUUUGACAGAACAGUGUCGAUCUAUCAGAAAACGCUUACGAGUUAUGAAAUCAAGCGAACUGUGCCGCAUCAUCUUCAUAAUAAUAAACACACAAGUCUACACGGCUGGCAUCCACGCAGGAAUGUGUGAACCCUCUGCGAAGCAUAUCCCACCAACACUCUGACAUCCGCAAGAAUUUUUGCAGACAUAGAGCUAUAUUCGAUCUGCUGUGGAUACAAACGAUUGCAAUCAUCACUUUCUUCCCGUUUCCCACAUUGACUUGCAUCUGACGUGACAGACGCCAUUGUCACCUAAAAAUAGAAGAUCACCAAAACUCACACACUGCACUGAAGAUUCCUGCUAGUCCCCGGCAGAUAUCUCAUUUGUUUAUUGUGUGAGUGUAGCUGGUCUGGCUCAAGCUCAAGCUUUUUAAAAAGUUUACUCUGAAUAUUCUCUAAUCUAUUACGUUCACAUUUCUGGAAGGGGUCUGCGUCUCUUAGAAAUUCUGUCUUGAUUUGAUGAACAUUUUCAAAAAUUCCCCUUCUCUAUGUAAUUGCUGCCUGUGAAAUAUUUCACCAAGAAUUCUCACUGAAGCUUUCCAAUUAUGGGCCCUUCGAAAAUUCUCAAAAAAAAAACUUGGCCAAUUAAGUACUUUAUGAAAUACACUAAAAAUCCUUUACGGCAUGAAACAGUUGGCGAUAAACAAAAUGAAUUGAAAAAAAAACAAAUGGAGGAAGAGGAACUAACCUUAGUCAACUACGGUUAACCAUAGAUCAGAAUGUUAACUUCAAGGUGUGAGCAUAUGAUACUACACAUACAAGGCAAAGAUAAGCAACAAGCAAGUUUCGUGCUUGCUCAGAUACCUACUUCUUAUCAGUGAAGAAAAUAUGGAAUGAUUGAUCCAUUCUUUUUCAAUCACUCUAACACUGAGUAUGUCUUUGCUAUCUAAUCAAUAUAAGACAACGUCUGUGUCGUGGAUUUACAGUUUGACGUUACCUUCUAUAUCUAUAAAUUUUAUCUGUUAAGAAAGGUACCCUGAAUGUAACUAGUUGAAACUAGUAAGGACUGUUCAUUAAAGAAAGUGGACAUCUGUUUACCAAUAGUUUAGAGUUAAAACUAAACAAAAAAUUGUUAAUUUUUGCUCAGUGUAUAAAAACAUUGUUCACUUCGGCAACUGUGUUCAAAGAAAACGGAAAAAAGUGAGAAAUUUUGUGCGAUGGGUUGGAUUACCUUAUCGACUAGCAGAUAAAUUCUGCACAAAUGGUGUUCCAAAAAAUGUCGUUUCGAGAAUGGGCGUACUAGUACACUUCCGGGAUCGCAAUUUUUCAACGCUGAGCAGGGGACAGAUGUGCUGGAUGAUGUAGGGUACAUCAGAACCGAAAAAUUUGGGAAAAAGUUUUUGGUGUGGCAAGCCAAUUGUUCAUGCGUCUUAAUCAGUUCUUCGUAUAUCACAACAGGAACAAUCAACGGUGAAAAUAACAUAAAAGAAUGCAUCAAAAAACGACUUCUACCUAUCUAUCGAAAACAUACGGAUCCUCCAUUGUUUUGGCCGGAUCUAGCAUCCGCUCAUUACGCUUCUACUACACAAGAGCUGCACAAGACGGAAAAAGUCGAUUUUGUCGAAAAAUGGCAAAAUCCAUCUAACUUCCCUGAACUGCGUCCUGUGAAAAGAUAGUGGACAAUAAUUUAGCGGCAUCUCAAGAAAAAUGGAAGAGAAGCAAGCUCUGUUGAUUGCUUCAAGAAAAUUUGGUCUGCGGCACAACGAAAGGUUACGGAGAAAGUUGUGCAGAAUCUAAUGGGAGGUAUCAAGAGGAAAGUCCGAGCGAUCUUCAGAAAUGCGAAGUAAAUGUUCAAACUCACGUGAAUUCGGCCACAUGUAUGUUGAUUGUCUUAUAUAAAAAAUAAACUUAUGAAUUUGUUCGAAAAUAAAAAUUUUCUAUUGAAAAACAGGUGUCCACUUUCUUUAAUGAACAGUCCUUAUUUCUGAAUAUUGGUGACGCAAAACAUACUGAAUUGUUUAACACGUUUCUGAAACAAGCAAAACUAUAAUUCAUUCUCACGCUCAGAUGUCACAUUGCUAUGAAAACAAAUCGCAACGGAAUCCAUAAAUAUCAAUGAUCUUUGCACAUUUCAGUAUCCGGCGCAAAGUUCUAACACCAUUAAUUCCCUUAUCAUUAGCAUCAAGAUGUCCCACUGCUAGCCGUUAUGCUAAAAGUCGUAAAUCGUCCCUUAAUUAGCAUAGUUAUGGCGUCCAGCACUAAUUGGCCAUUAAGUACAAUAAUUCCGGCCAACAUGGGUAUGGCUCACGUGCACAUCUUUAUUAAUUAAAUUAUAUCUCAGUCACACCUACAAUUCAAAUUAGGCUCCCAAGCUUGAUGCCAUCCAUGACAAGACGCGAAUUGUGUCCACGGUUUCGCUUAUUUGGAUCCGUUCUCGAUUUCAAUCACCUUCAAUUUUAUCCAGUUUUAUCAUCUCCAAACUGCCUCAAACGUCCCUCAAGCUGCGCAAGAGAAUUGAUGGGAGACAGGCGCCGGUACAAUUAAAAUAAGAGCAAUAAACAAUGCAAUCACAAUUCUAUUGUAGGUAGCACGUACAAACGAAUCCGCCCGACCGAUCGAGUCGUUUCUAUUU